This 450-nucleotide ribosomal RNA is filed under the name uncultured bacterium. RNAcentral describes it as "bacterial SSU rRNA". It matches the Rfam family "Bacterial small subunit ribosomal RNA", at positions 354 to 796 of the family's 1533-position model. The record is from RNAcentral.
GUGGGGAAUUUUGGACAAUGGGCGCAAGCCUGAUCCAGCAAUGCCGCGUGCAGGAAGAAGGCCUUCGGGUUGUAAACUGCUUUUGUACGGAACGAAACGGUCCUGGUUAAUACCUGGGGCUAAUGACGGUACCGUAAGAAUAAGCACCGGCUAACUACGUGCCAGCAGCCGCGGUAAUACGUAGGGGGCUAGCGUUAAUCGGAAUUACUGGGCGUAAAGCGUGCGCAGGCGGUUUUGUAAGACAGGCGUGAAAGCCCCGGGCUAAACGUGGGAAUUGCGCUUGUGACUGCAAGGCUGGAGUGCGGCAGAGGGGGAUGGAAUUCCGCGUGUAGCAGUGAAAUGCGUAGAUAUGCGGAGGAACACCGAUGGCGAAGGCAAUCCCCUGGGCCUGCACUGACGCUCAUGCACGAAAGCGUGGGGAGCAAACAGGAUUAGAAACCCCAGUAGUCC